UAUCGGUGGGAACUACCGGUCUCCAUGGCGGCAUCUCCACGGAGACUCUGACGUCAUAGCCUGGAAUAUUCACAGAUCCAGUUCCAGAAGCUCAGUUCCUUUGAAGAAGCGAAGUGUCUUUCUGGAAGAGAAUCAUCGCAAGCCUUCCACGGUGUUGCAGAACCAUCGCGAGCCUUCCAUUGUGUUGCCUUCCUGCGGAGCAGCGCGUGCAUUCUUCAGCCAUGGAAGGAUAGGAGCUGGAUCAUCCGAAGCAGUGCAGGCUGCAGGAGUUAUUUCCACAAUGCACACACACACACAGCUCCUCCUACUAGCUACUGUACUAGUGUUCCAUUCUCUCACUGCUUUUGUCUCCUCUCUCCCCCAGGUACAGAGACAUGCCAUGCUGAACCCUGGGAGAAUCACUAACCUGAUAAUGUCUGCAUAAUUAUUAUUGCAGGUUUAAAGGGGGCGGGGCUUGACUGUACGCCCCCAUAUCUCUCUUCAGGGGGAGGGGCUCAGGUCUCAACGUCCACUAAUUACUAUCCCACUAUACUGGAGAGGUGGAUUGUCUCUGCAUGUAUGCAGCCAUGGAUACAUUAAAAAUGAGUAUGGCUACAUGUGAAGUGUCUCAUACAUUCUAUGAUGUGUUACUGUAGGUUGAUGUCUGCACAGCAAAAGAUAGCCACUGUAACAGCAUACACACAGAUAAGUAGCUAGCUAUGUUGUGUGGCAAGUUUUUAUGAUCCCUCCAGGUUGAUUGGUUGAAAUUUCAUCUAGCUGCAUGAAUAGCUGCAUCACCUGUGUGCACUGCUCACUGCUCACUGUGAGGAGGAUCGUGUGGUUGUGGUCCCGGCUAUGCCACUCCACUAGAGGCAAUGGAGGGACCUCGUGAGAAGCUCCUCUACAUACCUUACAUCUAUCGAAGUACAGAGCAGAAUAAACCAGAUUAUCUUGCAACGGUUGAUUGCGACCCGGACUCCCACUUACAGACAGACUGAUAUCCCUGAGGUUGUGAAAAAGAAAGUCGAGAAGUUUAAAUAUCGCUACACUACACGAGACAAACGUAAAUCCUCCACCAUCAAUCUCGGCUCAUCCAAUUCCUGGCACGAUUAUCUCCUGGGACAAUUCAGAAAUGAACGACCACUUAACAGCGAGACAAAAAAACGCACUCUCGUUUCUUCCAACGUAUAAUUUUCGGCAAUAUUCGACCACUCUUAAAAAUGGAUCGUCAAUGUUUAGCUCUCAACCGCUACACGGUUCUCUUAACCGGGAAGGACAAUCGUCGAUCAGUCGUAGUCAUAGCGACCAGGAUCCAAACAACGACCAAACGAUGAAUGGAACUGUACAGAAUAUUCUCUCUAAUAGUGAAGCUGAUAUUUUGAGCAGUGGCGAAAGUACAAUUAUCAAACAAGUGUAACGUACAGUCAACCAUUGGCUGAUACUAAUAAAUUAUAUUGUCUAGUGGUGCAACAGAUUCUAUUGUACCUGUUAUUUCCAACUCUGCUGGUAGGAACUUUACGGAAAUUGAACGAGUUUUGGCAGCUGAAUUGCUUCGAUUCACUCAGAGAACGGAUUAUAGAACAAAAGCAGACGAGAGGUGAUUGGAAUUGGAAAAAUUCGUCUUUGAAAUGGCCAGAUUUGAUCUCCCUGUUCAAAUAGCAAGUGAAAAAGACGUUUUAAUGGAAGCUGAUGCUCGCAUGAUUGUGUACGAGCCAAAUCACGUGUGCUACGAUAAAUUCCAGCGUCAUUAUCGUCAGAGAAAUACUGGAUCGAUUAUCACUCCUCUGAGUAACGAUGACCUCAUCUCACGUCAUUUUGCACUGUCUCAAGUUCCCGUACAUGUACUUCCUGUGAAAGAUUUUACACAUAACAUCAUCAAUGCGGCUAUCGUGGGUGACUACCAUUACCGGCUACAAGUCUACGCUACCUAUGACAUACUUAUCUACGAUACUUAUUGUCCGAAACAGAAAUAUCGAGCACCCGCAAAACCACAGAAACGGCCAACAGCUACUAGUCAAAAUUCUACUGGUGGUAGUCGAAAACGAAAAAAUGUCGAGAAAGCAAAAAGUCCACAACCCAAGAGAGCGAAACGAGCAUACGUACGAAAGAAAGGUGUGGCCUCUAAAACAGUGGAAGAAGUUGCCCAAGGUUCAAUGGCCGCUGCUAUAUCAAUGCGGCUAUUGUGAGUGACUACCAGUUCCGGCUACAAGUGUACGCUUCGUACGAUGUACUUAUCCACGAUACUUAUUGUCCGAAAAAGAAAUAUAAAAAACCACGGAACCAGCCAACAGCUACUGGGAAAAAAGCUGCUGGUAAAAAAUCUGCUAGUGGUAUUGGUCGAGAAAGUAAAAAGCCCACAGCCCAAACGAGCGAAACGAACGUAUGUAAGAAAGAAAGGUGCGACCUCUAAAACAGUCGAAAAAGUUGCUCAAGGCAAUAAAAAAAGAGCGUCAGCUAAGAGUCAACAAGGAACUCGCAAACAGAUCAAGAUGACGACCUUUGUACCUCAGAUCGCGAGAAUGCAAAGUCCCAUCUCUUGAGUGACUGUUCCGUAUGCCUCACACAUAUCACACACCCUCACAAAGCCACGCCCCCUCACUCUUUUUUCGUGUGGACACCUACAUACCUCAUGUAUAAGAACAGUAUUCCGAUAGUUGUGCUCACCUUUGCCCUCUGUGCAGAUCACCUACAGCAAAAUAUCAUUCACAUGAUUAAAUUUGACUGUGUAUUGUCCUACGAGCUUGUGUACUAUAAUUAUCUUGCAUUGUCAA
Long non-coding RNA from Halichondria panicea, 2750 nucleotides. RefSeq lists it as uncharacterized. The record is from RefSeq and is a predicted model, not a curated record. NCBI's taxonomy places the organism in Eukaryota, Metazoa, Porifera, Demospongiae, Suberitida, Halichondriidae. The transcript is spliced from 5 exons.